This 322-nucleotide ribosomal RNA is filed under the name uncultured eukaryote. RNAcentral describes it as "partial 18S ribosomal RNA". It matches the Rfam family "Eukaryotic small subunit ribosomal RNA", at positions 1470 to 1796 of the family's 1831-position model. The record is from RNAcentral.
CCCUUAGAUGGUCUGGGCGGCACGCGCGCUACAAUGAUGCAUUCAAAAAGUCUUCUGACCUUAGAAGGUUGGGUAUUCUCCAAAGUGCAUCGUGAUGGGAAUAGUUUAUUGCAAUUUUUAAUCUUGAACGAGGAAUUCCUAGUAAGUACAGGUCAUCAACUUGUGUUGAUUACGUCCCUGCCCUUUGUACACACCGCCCGUCGCUCCUACUGAUUGAGUGGUCCGGUGAGGCUUUGGGAUCUGAGCGGAAAGAGCGUUUCGCUGUUUCUGCUCGGAAAACUCAGUCGAACCUUAUCAUUUAGAGGAAGGAGAAGUCGUAACA